AAGCGUGGAGCAUGUGGUUUAAUUCGAAGCAACGCGAAGACCUUACCAGGUCUUGACAUCCCGAUGCUAUUCUAGAGAUAGAAAGUUACUUCGGUACAUCGGUGACAGGUGGUGCAUGGUUGUCGUCAGCUCGUGUCGUGAGAUGUUGGGUUAAGUCCCGCAACGAGCGCAACCCCUACGUUAGUUGCUAACAGGUGAAGCUGAGCACUCUAGACGAACUGCCGUUGACAAAACGGGGGAAGGUGGGGAUGACGUCAAAUCAUCAUGUCCCUUAUGUUCUGGGCUACACACGUGCUACAAUGGCCGGUACAGACGGAGGCGAAGCCGCGAGGCGGAGCAAAUCCGAAAAAGCCGGUCUCAGUUCGGAUUGCAGGCUGCAAUUCGCCUGCAUGAAGUCGGAAUCGCUAGUAAUCGCAGGUCAGCAUGCCGCGGUGAAUACGUUCCCGGGCCUU
This 452-nucleotide ribosomal RNA is filed under the name uncultured Pelotomaculum sp. RNAcentral's name for it is "bacterial SSU rRNA". It matches the Rfam family "Bacterial small subunit ribosomal RNA", at positions 927 to 1382 of the family's 1533-position model. Lineage: Bacteria; Bacillati; Bacillota; Clostridia; Eubacteriales; Desulfotomaculaceae. The record is from RNAcentral.